RNAcentral lists this ribosomal RNA (465 nucleotides) under uncultured bacterium. Its description in RNAcentral is "partial 16S ribosomal RNA". It matches the Rfam family "Bacterial small subunit ribosomal RNA", at positions 338 to 795 of the family's 1533-position model. The record is from RNAcentral.
CCUACGGGAGGCAGCAGUAGGGAAUCUUCCACAAUGGGCGAAAGCCUGAUGGAGCAACGCCGCGUGGGUGAAGAAGGUCUUCGGAUCGUAAAACUCUGUUGUUAGAGAAGAAAGUGCGUGAGAGUAACUGUUCACGUUUCGACGGUAUCUAACCAGAAAGCCACGGCUAACUACGUGCCAGCAGCCGCGGUAAUACGUAGGUGGCAAGCGUUAUCCGGAUUUAUUGGGCGUAAAGGGAACGCAGGCGGUCUUUUAAGUCUGAUGUGAAAGCCUUCGGCUCAACCGGAGUAGUGCAUUGGAAACUGGGGGACUUGAGUGCAGAAGAGGAGAGUGGAACGCCAUGUGUAGCGGUGAAAUGCGUAGAUAUAUGGAAGAACACCAGUGGCGAAAGCGGCUCUCUGGUCUGUAACUGACGCUGAGGUUCGAAAGCGUGGGUAGCAAACAGGAUUAGAUACCCGAGUAGUC